CCUUUAAUUAAACCUCCAACCCCCUUUAAUUAAACCUCCAACCCCCUUUAAUAAAUCAACACCCCCUCUUUAAUCCACCCCUUUACUUAAACCUCCACACCCCCUUUAAUUAAUCCACCCCCUUUAAUUAAACCUCCAUCCCCCUUUAAUUAAUCCCCCCUUUAAUUCUUUAAUUAAUCCACCCCCUCUUUAAUUAAUCCACACCCCCCCUUUACUUAAAUCUCCCCCCUUUAAUUCUUUAAUUAAUCCCCCUUUUAAUUAAUUCAGCCCCAGACAUAAAAUAACUACUUACAUUUUGAUGAUGCCUUCCUUGCCUCCGAGUCCGACCACUGGGUGCCUCACCGCCCGUCUUUUUCACUGGUUUUUCUUUUUUUCUCUUUUGCUUAUAUUUUUGUAGUGAGAUAUUUACAAAACCAUAUGUUUUUUCCAACAGAAUGCAUUAUACACCGUGUAACCUAGGAUCAUAGGAAACC
Non-coding RNA from Pelobates cultripes (western spadefoot toad), 473 nucleotides. The record is from the annotation of a GenBank genome assembly. Lineage: Eukaryota; Metazoa; Chordata; Amphibia; Anura; Pelobatidae.